This 73-nucleotide transfer RNA is filed under the name Stegodyphus mimosarum. It matches the Rfam family "tRNA". From Rfam's summary of the family: Transfer RNA (tRNA) molecules are approximately 80 nucleotides in length. The record is from Rfam by way of RNAcentral. Lineage: Eukaryota; Metazoa; Arthropoda; Arachnida; Araneae; Eresidae.
GCCUUUGUGGUGUAGCGGUCAGCACGCUCGACGCGUAACCGAGAGGUCCGUGGUUCAAUUCCCGGCGAAGGCG